Molecule: ribosomal RNA, 492 nt
Filed under: uncultured bacterium
Lineage: Bacteria
Description: partial 16S ribosomal RNA
Rfam family: Bacterial small subunit ribosomal RNA
Source: RNAcentral
AGUGAACGCUGGCGGUAGGCCUAACACAUGCAAGUCGAACGGCAGCACAGUAAGAGCUUGCUCUUACGGGUGGCGAGUGGCGGACGGGUGAGGAAUACAUCGGAAUCUACUUUUUCGUGGGGGAUAACGUAGGGAAACUUACGCUAAUACCGCAUACGACCUACGGGUGAAAGCAGGGAAUCUUCGGACCUUGCGCGAUUGAAUGAGCCGAUGUCGGAUUAGCUAGUUGGCGGGGAAAAGGCCCACCAAGGCGACGAUCCGUAGCUGGUCUGAGAGGAUGAUCAGCCACACUGGAACUGAGACACGGUCCAGACUCCUACGGGAGGCAGCAGUGGGGAAUAUUGGACAAUGGGCGCAAGCCUGAUCCAGCCAUACCGCGUGGGUGAAGAAGGCCUUCGGGUUGUAAAGCCCUUUUGUUGGGAAAGAAAAGCAGCAGGUUAAUACCCCGCUGUUCUGACGGUACCCAAAGAAUAAGCACCGGCUAACUUCGUG